AUAACAUACUUACAUAUAAUACACCCAAACUUAGUAUCUAGUUGUCUAACUACCUGGACAUUACAAAAAAAGCUGACAAAUUGUCGGCAUAAGACUAGAUCUCGAUGCUGGAGCUCAACCUAGAUAACUUUUAGGCUCUAACCUGGUUUGAGAAUACUUACUAGCAGCUGAUACUUUCAACUUUUCCACAGCAGUUUGGGGAUGUGGGGGUAUUUGUAUUUCUUUACGCCGUAUCCUGUGUGGUUUCAGUCCAUCUAUUUACAUGUUAUUGAGAGUCCACUAACAGCUUGAGCAUGAAAUCAGC
This 304-nucleotide long non-coding RNA is filed under the name Panicum hallii. RNAcentral's name for it is "long non-coding RNA (PHAL_LNC000489)". The record is from RNAcentral. Lineage: Eukaryota; Viridiplantae; Streptophyta; Magnoliopsida; Poales; Poaceae.